Mauremys mutica (yellowpond turtle) is the source of this 311-nucleotide long non-coding RNA. RefSeq lists it as uncharacterized. The transcript has 3 exons. The record is from RefSeq and is a predicted model, not a curated record. NCBI's taxonomy places the organism in Eukaryota, Metazoa, Chordata, Testudines, Geoemydidae.
GAAAGAAUAAUACAAUGGGGAUUUCUUUAAGACUGAAGAAACAACAACAGACACAUGGGCAGGAUAAAUAAUAUGAAGGACAGAGCACAGUUAACAAAGAUAGCCUUGGAAUGCAUGCCAAACAGAGUUACAGAUACUCAAGUGGUGACAAACUUUACUGGUGAUAUGCAACCACAGCAAAAGAGAAUUGUACCACAGCCAACAAUCUAGCAUUUCUUCCAAGUUCUAGAGUGUAAGACACAGGAGCACAAGGACCUUGGGGAUGCUGCUGAAUGACUAACUACAACUCAGAGUUAAAAAGAUAAGAAUAC